RNAcentral lists this non-coding RNA (24 nucleotides) under Bombyx mori (domestic silkworm). Lineage: Eukaryota; Metazoa; Arthropoda; Insecta; Lepidoptera; Bombycidae. The record is from RNAcentral.
GAGAUGUGGACAUUGUGGUGUGGA